GCCCUUAGAGUUUGAUCAUGGCUCAGAAUCAACGCUGGCGGCGUGCCUCAGACAUGCAAGUUGAACGAUUAAACUCUUCUUCGGAAGAGAUAUAAAGUGGCGCACGGGUGAGUAACACGUAAGUAAUCUACCUUUGAGUGGGGAAUAACAGUCGGAAACGACUGCUAAUACCGCAUAAUGCAGCGGCACCUAAUGGUGACAGUUGUUAAAGUAUUUAUACGCUUAAAGAGGAGCUUGCGGCAGAUUAGCUAGUUGGUAAGGUAACGGCUUACCAAGGCGACGAUCUGUAUCCGACCUGAGAGGGUGGUCGGACACACUGACACUGAAUAACGGGUCAGACUCCUACGGGAGGCAGCAGUCGGGAAUUUUGGGCAAUGGGCGAAAGCCUGACCCAGCAACGCCGCGUGAAGGAUGAAGUCUUUCGGGAUGUAAACUUCGUAAGAAUAGGAAGAAUAAUACGG
Molecule: ribosomal RNA, 461 nt
Filed under: uncultured copper smeltery bacterium D95
Lineage: Bacteria
Description: bacterial SSU rRNA
Rfam family: Bacterial small subunit ribosomal RNA
Source: RNAcentral